Long non-coding RNA from Asparagus officinalis (garden asparagus), 750 nucleotides. RefSeq lists it as uncharacterized. NCBI's taxonomy places the organism in Eukaryota, Viridiplantae, Streptophyta, Magnoliopsida, Asparagales, Asparagaceae. The transcript is spliced from 2 exons. The record is from RefSeq and is a predicted model, not a curated record.
GACCCGAAUAACCCAAAGAUCCCGUUUGCCACCCACAGACAUUCAAAACCAUUCUCGAAAAUUGACCACACCUCUAGAAUUUUUUGGUAGCGUCUCGAAUCAGCGAUCGCAAAACCUUAACGUGUAAGGCUCCGAUUAGUCCAAGGCCCAUACAAAGAACCACUCGAUCACUGCCACGUCAAAAACAUAUAUGUUUGGUAUUCUGUCUCCACAGCUAUCGUAAUUUGGACGGUACAUUGUCAACUUUUUUAUCAAAUUCUGGAUAAGAUUGCUGACGUGCACUUGUACUUUCCAAAAUUGUAAACAAAAAAAACCAAGUCGCCAUUUGACCCAAGACUUAGACAUGUGGGACCUACGAGCAGGGAGCGAUUGGGUCAGUCUGAUUUAUUACCACAAAUUUAAUCCACUGAUUUAUUAUCUUACUCUAAAAUUAUCAAUUAAGACACAAAUCUUCCAAAUUUACCCUCUCAAUCCCCCUAAUUCCCCACUUAUAGACAGUAAAAUAGUUCCAAAACCAAGGGUAUUUACGUAAGUAGAUCUAGUCCCUCACUCAUGCUGCAAAUUAUCCCCGCCCGCUGUCAGAGGAACAGGAAAAAAUUAAGAAAAUCAUCGAAAGUUAGAGAAGAGAGCAGAGAUUAAGAUCUAUAGUUGUCUGCAGGAGGUGACGAGAUCAGGGCUCAAAAUGCUGGCGGUGUUUGAUCGGACGGUAGCGAAGAGCCCUGAGGGGCUGCGAUCGACGGCGGAGGGCGG